This 492-nucleotide ribosomal RNA is filed under the name uncultured bacterium. RNAcentral describes it as "partial 16S ribosomal RNA". It matches the Rfam family "Bacterial small subunit ribosomal RNA", at positions 29 to 507 of the family's 1533-position model. The record is from RNAcentral.
AGUGAACGCUGGCGGUAGGCCUAACACAUGCAAGUCGAACGGCAGCACAGUAAUAUCUUGCUCUUACGGGUUUCGAGUGUCGGACGUUUGAGUUAUACAUCGUAAUCUACUUUUUCGUGUGGGAUAACGUAGGUAAACUUACGCUAAUACCGCAUACUACCUACGGUUGAAAUCAUUGGUUCUUCUUACCUUUCGCUAUUGUAUUAUCCGAUUUCGGAUUUGCUAGUUGGCUGGGUAAAGGCCCACCAAGGCGACGAUCCUUAGAUGGUCUGAGAGGAUGAGCAGAAAAACUGGAACUGAGACACGGAAAAGAGUCCGAAGGGAGGAAGAAGUGGGGAAUAUUGGAAAAUGGGGGAAAGCAUGAUACAGCAAGACCGCGUGGGUGAAGAAGGACUUCGGGUUGUAAAGACAUUUUGUUGGGAAAGAAAAGAAGCAGGUUAAUACCCCGAUGUAAUGACGGUACCCAAAGAAUAAGCACCGGCUAACUUCGUG